UACGUAGGGUGCGAGCGUUAAUCGGAAUUACUGGGCGUAAAGUGUGCGCAGGCGGUUCGUUGUGUCGGCGGUGAAAGCCCCGGGCUUAACCUGGGAACGGCCGUUGAAACUGGCGAACUGGAGUGUGGCAGAGGGGGGUGGAAUUCCGCGUGUAGCAGUGAAAUGCGUAGAGAUGCGGAGGAACACCGAUGGCGAAGGCAGCCCCCUGGGCUAACACUGACGCUCAGGCACGAAAGCGUGGGGAGCAAACAGG
This 253-nucleotide ribosomal RNA is filed under the name uncultured bacterium. RNAcentral describes it as "partial 16S ribosomal RNA". It matches the Rfam family "Bacterial small subunit ribosomal RNA", at positions 524 to 776 of the family's 1533-position model. The record is from RNAcentral.